GUGAUGUCGCCUCAAUAGCCGGAGGCGUGAAGAGACUCGCAUGGGCUGA
Molecule: small nucleolar RNA, 49 nt
Filed under: Pyrobaculum neutrophilum V24Sta
Lineage: Archaea; Thermoproteati; Thermoproteota; Thermoprotei; Thermoproteales; Thermoproteaceae
Description: PNEsR18
Source: RNAcentral